UAUUUAAAAAUGGCGCUCAAAGUUGACGUGUAAUCAACGUGAAUAAUAAAACAUCAUUAAACAUUAAAAUAUAACAUAAAAACGAUGUUUUCUCUUACUAAUUUACUUUCCGGGUUGUUUUUGUUGUUUAUUUGCCAUUCUAUCUGGAAUUUAGUUACAUUAUUUCGUCCUCCAGAAUGUAAGAUAGGUGAACUUUGUUACAGCUCAUAUUUAAAUAGUAAACCUUCUUUAAAUUUGUUACUGUUUGCCUCCGACAAUACAAUAAGCUCAUUAACAUUAGUUGAUAACAUUACCAAUUUUGACUAUGAUACUCCAUUUGAAAGGGAGUUGCAGUUGGCUCUACCUACUUCAACUCGACAAAAUGGGAGUCUUUUCAUGCAUGUAGUUUUAUUUCCUGCUAGAAUAACAAAAAAAGGUUUGAGUUUGAGUGAAGUAACUCGGUUUCCAGAUGCUGUUUAUUAUAGAAAGAAAGUAAGUGAACAUGUUGUUCCUAAAGAUAAUGCCUUUAAUUUGUUAAAAGAUGAAGGAGGAAAAAAGUCCUAUAAACCAGUUACACAUAUUCAAAACAAGUUUGCAAUCACCAUCUGUACUGACAACUUUUCUGUUCCCAAUAACCAUGUUCCAUUUGAAAUUGCAAAACACGUUAAUGUGAAUCAUAGAUCCCAGCUGCUCCCUAUUUUAGUAGAGGAUUUUCUGCAAACAAAAAGAACAGAUUUAGUGGAGGUGAAGCCUGACACCGAAUCUUUUAAAAUGACCUUUGCCUAUAGUCCAUCAUCCUUUGGAAAGUUGAGGUUUCUUUUACAAAUUGAAGCAACUUUACAUCAGUUUUUGAAACUUGGCUUUACUCAAAAGGAUUUGGAUGAAGUGAAAGGUGUCUUUGCAGAUACUAAUUUGUAUUUGCUUUGUGCUACAAUGUUUGUUGGAAGUAUUCAUUUACUUUUUGACUUUUUAUCUUUUAAAAACGACGUACGUUUUUGGAAAUCAAAAACUUCAAUGGCUGGACUGUCCACCAAAGCUGUCUUAUGGAGAGCUUUUUCUCAGACAAUCAUAUUUUUGUUUCUGUUAGAUCAGGGAACUUCAUUGCUGGUCCUUAUACCUUCUGGAAUAGCUACAGUGAUAGAGUUUUGGAAAUUGAAAAAAGUUUUCAAAGCUACAGUCAUUUGGGAAAAUGGUCUUCCUAAGGUACAUACGAAUCGAAUGAAACUGGAAACUGCAGCUGAAGCAAAGACUAGAGAAUAUGAUGAUCAGUGUAUGAGCAUGUUGAGUUAUGUGCUCUAUCCUUUGUGUUUGGGAGCAGCAAUUUAUUCGUUAAUUUAUCAAGCACAUAAGAGCUGGUAUUCAUGGGUCAUAAACUGUUUAGUAAAUGCAGUUUAUGCUUUUGGAUUUUUAUUCAUGUUACCCCAGUUAUUUAUUAAUUAUCGGUUAAAGUCUGUGGCUGCAUUGCCCUGGAGAGCCUUUAUGUACAGGGCUUUCAAUACGUUUAUAGAUGACAUUUUUGCUUUUAUAAUAACUAUGCCAACAGCUCAUAGAAUAGCAUGUUUUAGGGAUGAUAUAGUUUUUAUUAUUUAUUUAUAUCAAAGAUGGUUGUACCCAAUUGAUAAAACUAGAACAGAUGACAUUACUUCCGAAGACCUUCCCACAGAAACUCAGAAAAAACUUGAUUAACCUUGUGUGAUAAUUAGGAAAACGAAAAUACAAUUUGAAGAAGAUUACUUUAGUCAAUAAGGCUAACAGUAUAACAAAUACACCAGUUACAAGUUAUUAGUUUAAAUUAUACGUUUGAAAUGGAGGCAACAAGCCCGCACACGCUUUCUUUCGUCAAUAUACACUUAUAAUAAUUAUAAUAACAGUAUUUCUCUAGAGCUGUAGAAACAAACAGUUACAAUCAGAACCAACAUUUGAUAGUAAUAAUUUACAAUUAUUUUUUAUUAUUUCAACUGCUCGAGCAUACUCUCUCAGUUAAAAUGUACAUUUUCCUCAUUAAAAAGCCAGCAAUCAGUGAUUUAAUGAUAUAGUAACUAUACAACUAGUAUGUUUCUUUAAUUUUAGUGGUAAGUAGGUACAAUAAUAUUGCAAAUAUGAAACGAGAGGUGGUAACCGUUGCCGUUUAAAAAGGGUAGAAAAUAAUGUGUAGGCAUUAAAGUAAACUGAAACAAUGUUUCAUGUAUUAUUUUACAAUGGCUUGGUGAGGAGUUGGUGAAAAGGAACACACACGUACAUUUAUUUUAUCAAAAUUUUUUAUUUAUUUUCAUCUAACGAGUUCGUGGAGAAUUAAUAAAAUAAUAAAUAAAAGUACAAUACAGCAAAACCGCUACACGAAAUAAUUUUCUCCAUUUGAGAUUGAUUUGAAAUUCAAGCCUAGCACUUUUGUCAAAUAUUUGUAUAUAAAAAAAAACGCGUACAAAUUUUCCGCCUUUUUAGUUUUUGUUUAUUUUCAAAUUUACAAGUGCUAGUAAUUUCAAAUUGUUAAAAUUAUGUCGGUAGAUAGAUCACAGAAAAAAUGAUUAAUGUUACAGUUCGCGUGCUUCCACUAUUUUUUUUUAAGCCAAAUGUAAAAUAAAUUUCAAGCUGUCUGGGUACAGAAUGAAAAACAUCGAUGUUAUUUACAGUUUUGUAGUGUUAUCAUUUUUUCGAAAUAUCUUUAAAAAUAUCUGCUCGGUUGUCCUUUGUUGUGCACAGUUAAUAAAAAAAAGCAUUUUCUUAUUUAUGAAAACUAUUGUAAUUAUUUUUAAAGUGCUCAAAAUAAAAUACAUUCAGAAGUACGAAGUGCAAAGGUUGUUGUAAAACUUCGAAUUUCAAAACUUUGAUAAAUUUUCUAAACGAUUUUUCUAAAUAAACUUUUAUUGCUCCUUAUGUACAUUCUAUUUCAUAACGUCACUCUAAUAAGUAAAUGUAAUUAAUUGGGUGAUCAAACUUGACCAUUUUUCUCCCUCAUGUUCUAGUUAUAUGUUACAUUACAUUUUUUUUAGAUGUACAAAAAUGUAUAAUCUGAGAGAAAAUAUUAGUACCUCAUUUCGUUCAAUAUGAAAUAUAACGAUAACAAAGGAAAAGUGCAAAAAAAAUGCCAGUUUGACUACCAAAAUAAAUAUAUUUAACCACAGGAGCGAUUCUAAACGUUAAUAAGUACAACAAUUAGAACAAGUAUAAGGAACAAUAAAAAUAUUGAUAAGAUUUUUUUUUCAGAAAACUUAUCAAAAUUCAUUGUUUAUAGGGCCCACUUUCAAAUUCUCCUCUUGUAAAAAGAAUUGAUCCUUUAGGCCAAUUUAAGUUGGUCUUGUUAAAGGAAUGCAGUUUAUAAAAAAAAAUAUU
This 3309-nucleotide unclassified non-coding RNA is filed under the name Agrilus planipennis (emerald ash borer). RNAcentral's name for it is "cleft lip and palate transmembrane protein 1-like protein, transcript variant X1". The record is from RNAcentral. Lineage: Eukaryota; Metazoa; Arthropoda; Insecta; Coleoptera; Buprestidae.